AACACCCCAAAAAGGCAGAUGUUAUGAAACCGAAAAGAAAAAACCCCCCCCACUGAAAAUCCUUUUCUCUUCUUUGCCAACAUGUGCACGCAUCUUUUUCCCAUCUGCUAGGAUAAAAAAAAUGCAGUACAUUAUCAUUUCGGUCAUACCUACUGUAGCCUGUAAAACCAUUUGCAGCCAUUGCAGUGCUGUCACGAAACAAAACAUUCAAGAUUCGACCGAUACUUCUGACUUCAUCACUGUUGUCUUGUCACACGACAGUGAUGAAGUGUGAGUUUCUAUAUGUAUCGCCUGCAUUUCCAGGCUUGAUAUUUAUUGUUUUCGAAGGUUUGAAGAACAGAAGAUGAGAGACAGACAGCAGAGACCACUGUGACAGGAGCUCAUGGCGUUACAGAAUAGUACACUUUGUACCAGAGGUGUGUGUCUUCAUUUUCUGCGUCCAGGUUAGCUGCAUAAAUAGACAGCCAGGCUGUGCAGCUGCAUGGAGAUGCUGCUGUUUGUAUCGCAACUCUAUUGAUUAUUUGCAUCUGAUAAAAAUGUCUCGCGUUUGUUGUGUUGUGUAAUACCUUUUGCAACAGUUAAGAAUGUAGCCGUAGAACGGGCUCUUGUUAAUAAUGCAGUAUUGCGUACAGUGAAAUAUGGAUGUAAUGUAACUAUAAACAAAGGCAUAAAUAAAAAUAACUACUUAUGCCAUAAGCAUAAAGAUCUGAGCGUAUUCUGUGCAAGGUGAAAAAUAUGGUUUCACCAAAUGGGCAUUUACACAUUUCUUUAUCAGCUCUCUGCAUUACUCCAUCUACUAUGUGCACUUUUCUUCUCUCCUUCCAUGGAGAACUCGAAGCACUUAAUUAUUCACAUUGUCACUGGAAGUGUUCUUCAUUCUUUUAACUCUUUAGUGCUCACAUAUAGAGAAAGCACGGCCUGUCAGCAGAGCGGCAUGUUAUGAGAAUAAUAUUCUUGCGUGUGCAUCUGGAUCUGAUGGAUGCCAUGUUAGAAAUUCUCCCCUCUUUAGGUGUCGCUGUAUUGAGAUAUUUCUAAGGUCUCUAGCUGAAAGGCUUCUGUCCUCUGCUUCUGAGAAAUGAGACGCUCACGCCUCCCAGAGUUAGAAAAAUCUCGAGCCCCCGGGGAGAUAUACACUUUUCCGUAGUGAACACUGUGGCACUGGAGUGCAAACCUACAUCUCAUUUCCUCGCUGCCUUCAAUUUUUCAUUAUCAUCUUUCUCUGUCUCCUUCUCUCCUACUCACCCUCCAUCUCCUCUCGCUUUUCCGUCUCCCCUAUCAGCUCCACAGUGGCCUUCGCCCACUCAAAGCUUAGAGCAAUGUGAGUGGGAGACUUCUUGUGUGACUAAAGCAAUCAAAAGCACACAUGCGCACAUACAUGCAAGCUCAUGCACAAACACCCGUAAAACAUGCGUGCAAGGAAGGAUUCACAUGCAUAAUCGGCUGCAGAGACAUUCAAACACUGCUCGCGCUCACACAGAUAUAAACAAAUGUGCAGACAUAAUACUUAGUUUGUCAUACAUAUUUCAUACUUAGUACAUAAAGCCUCCAUUUUGCUGAUGCAGGUUGAGCUGAGGCCUUCUCCUGAAGUGCAUUUGUCAUCUUUGAUGACAUUAAGCUGAUAGGAAGCUAGGUAAAUGCAUAAUUACAUGUGCAUUCACAUUUAUGUUCAAUAUACACUCACCAACCACUUUAUUAGGUACACCCUGCCCUGCUAGUACCAGGUUGGGCCCUGUUUUGCCUUCAGAACUGCCUCAAUUAUACCAUAGAUAUCGAUUCAACAAGGUGCUGGACACAUUCCUAGGAGAUUUUGGUCCAUAUCGACACGAUAACAUCACACAGUUGCUGCAGAUUUGUCAGCUGCAUGUCCAUAAUGUCAAUCUCCUGUUCCACCACAUCCCAAAGGUGCUAUUGGGCUGAGAUCAUGUGACUGUGGAGGCCAUUUGAGUACAGUGAACUUACUGUCAUUUUCAAGAAACCAGUUUUAGGCGAUAUAAGCUUUGUGACAUGUUGAGUUAUCCUGCUGGGAGCAGCCAGAGGAUGGGCACACCGUGCUCACAAAUGGACAUGAACACGUUCAGCAUCAAAACUCAGCUAAGUUGCUAUGUUUAAACGAUGUUCAGCUGUUACUAAGGGGCCCAAAGUAAUCACUUAGACUAUUAGAUGAGUCUGACAGAAGGUAGGACGUAUGCAUGCCCUACCAUCUGAAUAUAGAAAACUGAGACUCAUCAAUCCAGCCAGUCUUUUCAGUCUUCUCUGUCCAAAUUUUGUGUGCCAGUGUGAAUGUUAGCCUCAGUUUCCUGUUCUUAGCUGACAGGAGUGGUUUUCUGAUGCUGUAGCUCACCUGAUUCUGCAAAUCUUGGUUGUCAUGAGUGGUUUUUUGAGUUAGCUUCCUAUUAGACCCCAAUAUUGCUGCUAUUCUGGGCAAAUUGAGCUAUUUGUCAACAUAUCUGUCUCUGUAUUUAUAAAGGUCGGUAAAGGAGAAAUUUAAAAAGGAAGAAAAAGAUGAGAGAAACACCUUUUAACAAUGCUGUGAACGUUCAUGCUAUGCUUCCAGAGCUUUGAACGCCACAAACACAACAACCAGCUGAUGUGAGCCGAAUCAGCCAGCGCCUAAACGAGUACUCUGUGACAAGAUUCUCUUGAAACUGCACUGUCACAUUAGCUCAGUACGAACUAACAAAUGACCGUACAUAACAAAUGUUAGGGAAAUGUGUUUGUGUCUUGUAUGCCUGGGAAAAAAAAGAAUGACCAAUAUAUUAGAUUUUUUUUAAAUAACCAAACAUGUGAGUCAGUGUUAAAAAUCCUAUAUAGGUUGGACUAUGCUUCCUAUCAACUCAAAGCAGUACGGCCAUUCUCCUUUGACCUCUAGCAUCAACAAUGCAUUUUCACUCAGACAACUCUUUCUUUUCUUUGGACCAUUUUCUGUUAACCCUAUAAAUGGCUUUUUCGAAAAACAGUGUUUGUUUUUUUAAACUAAGAAGUAAGAAAGCGACAGAUGGAAAAUAGGGAAAGUUAGAGAAAUUACUUGCAACAAAGGUUGAAAGCUGAAGUGGUGGGUGUUGUAAUUAUACGGUAUGUGUGGUAAGCAGUAGACCAGUGAGAGCCCCAAAUAACCCCUUUAUCAUAUUGGCGACAGAAUCAUGUUAAAUUUAGCUGAAACACAACCGGCUACAACAGAGUCUGACAUUUCACUAGUACAAGAAACAAUAUUGAGUUUUAAUUUGAAAUGCAUUUAUAUUCACAACUUUAGUAAGAUAAAAUUGGCUAAAUAGAUGAUGCAAAAGAAAUAAAACUAAGUCUCUUAAUUAAAUUUUCUUGAUGGGAAGCCACGGUUGAGUACACAGGAUACUUUUGUGUCGGGCUGAGGCAUGUUAAUAUUUUAGAGCAUAACUAGGACACACUGCAGGGUGUUCAGCAGAAAAACGAUUUUAUCUGUUUAUACAUGAGAGAUACUUCAGGCUUUUAGAAACUCAGCAUUUGUUUUAACUUUUAUACUCUCUACUUACAUCUAAAGUAAAUAUAGGUUUGAAGCUUUGACUUAUAUAUUUUUAUAUAUUUCAAACUAGUGUUUUCCAACACGAUUAACUGGCUGCGUGGCAGAAUGUAGACAAAGAAGGAAACAUUAUGGGAUUAACAUCUUCCUAACAGACCAGAAAUUUGCGCAGAGACACAGUGCUUCUGAGAUACCGCUGAACUACUUUACAUGAACUUAUUUAACAAGAUAAUGAUGAUUCUGCCUGGUAGUGACAGCUUCCUGCUGUAUUCACACGAAUUCUCCUUUAUCUAUUUUUAAAAAUCACUUGUGCUCUCUGUUCUCUUUAAAAAAUACUGAUCAUAAAGGAGCAGAAAUUUGAUCUACGAUCCCCCUUACAAUUUAUUAAAAUGUCUUAACUUACCUGACAAAUAAGGGUAAUAGCAUCAGCUGUCUUUUAUGCUAACUAGCAAAUGUUAGCAUGUAACACGGUAAACGUACUUGGUUAAGCUAGCUCAAGUUUACUGUCACAGAGCUGCUGAUGUUUAGGAAAUUAAAGUUAGGAGCUGCAUUUUUGUCUCACUGACAGUUACUUGUAUACGACUUUUAAUUAAAAAAAGCUUAAAGUUUUUUGUAAUACAUAAUAAUAUGAUACUACUAUACAGAGUCAAGACCGUUUUAACUUAAACAGGACUCAUUUUUAUACGCUUUAUUUGAACAGUUUCCCUGGCAAAUGUAGUCCAGAUCAAAAAUAGCCAGAGAAAUGGAAAAAAUAAAACAACAAGACAUUAUAUCCCCUGGUUUUGCUUUAUUACUUCUGACUGCUUUCUUUAAAUAUUUUCUGAAUUAAUUAAAAAUGUAAAACUUUUGUCAAUCACUAAAUGAUGGAUGAACUGCGAUGAUGAAAGUUAAAAAGACAUAUUCAAUUCUAUUUAUCUACACUUGCUUCCGGUUCUUCUCGAAUAUCAGCUGUCCAAUAAAAUCAAGACAGAGCAGAUCCUCUAACUUCCUAAUAUAAAGGAUAUUAAAACUAGAAUAUUUCAUAUGCACGCUCAAAUGCCAGCCCCAUGUCAUAUUAUAUCUGAGCAAACAUUUUAGCUUGGCAUCAAACUAAAGUAAACUAAAUUAGCAAUGACUGUGCUCUAGUCAAGUGAGCUUGCUCCUGGCUAUUGCGCAGGCUGCCUCAUUGUCGUGGUUUACUGCAACACUCAGCAGAAAUGAGCCAACAUUAAAAACACCUGUUUCUUUUCCUGAUCUGCAUCCAAACAGAUCUACAUCUUUAAUCUGAACACUCAGUCGUUUCAAGUUCCAGGCUCGCCAUGCUGCAGUUUGACUUUAAGUCUCAGGAUAGCUGCUCCCUCAUUGAUGAUUCGGAGCGCCACGGCCUCCUCCACACGACCUUCCUUGGUGAGAUGGGCCUUCAGGAGAUCCACGCGAGGUUUCCCUUCACAGUCAAAUACUUCCUUCAUCGUAAGGCGGUGGCUCAAGGGGAAGGGGACAGCUGAGGACAGAGCACAGGAACGCAGCGACAUUUAAGCACAGGGACAUCACGGUCACUAUGGCGACUCUUAAAGAAAUCGACACAAUUCCCGACUGUUUUGUUGCCACUGUGCUGCAUUAUUAUAGUAAACAGCACUCGGGAAUGAUACUGACAACAUUUUAUCAAGGAGCUCAUGCAGCAAUCAUAAAAGAGAAAACCCCAACCAUGUUUCGCCUGCAAGCAAUACUGCACAGCUGCUUCAUUUCAUCUUUGUUGAUGGUGUGUGCACUUUGGCAUGAAGACCAUUCUUAAGAGCACAGUUUUCCUUAAAACUGAAAGAAUCUCCCAUGAAAAUGCAAGGACUUCUCUAUCUAUCUAUCUUAGCAUACUGACAAACUAUCCUUUAUGUGGUUACUUGUAUUUUCUGAGUGCCAGAUAAAAUAUCUAAGCCAUCUACUCAUCCAACACUCUCCCUGGAUCGCUAAAGCCUUUGGCCAUUAAAAUGCAUCAGUCACCUACCAACAGACAGCCUGUGAAACUGUGAAAUCCAACCACAGAUCAUUACUUCAGUGGCAGCGAAGGUUAUUUAUUAGAUCUGGUGCCGAGCUCUGUGUACUCUAACUGCAAGCUAUCAGGACCUGUGUAUUUACGUUAAUCUACGCCUCAUCUAGCUUAACAAAAAUCACAUGAGGUCCAGUGGCAGAAUUCAUUUGAAAAGCUAGACACAAACACACACGCAAACAGGUGCGCACAACAUAAGCAGUCAGCCGUAGUACACGUACUAGUAAAGGUAAGCCUGCCAGAUUUGUGCAGAGCAUAGCAAACAGAGCCACUCAGCAGUGCCAAAUGAAAAAAAGACAAAGGAAGAGUCUCAAAUCUCAGGCUUAAACUGAACAUGAUCAACAUGCUCUUCAAUAAUGAAUGCUUGACUAGAGGAAUCUUAAAGCCGCCGCUCGUGGUAUAAUGAGGCAAGCCCCAGCGAGUGUUUUUAAUGGGACUCCAAUUUUUCACAGUGUGCAGCGUGUAUCUGUGACGGCAAUGUGUACUUUGACACUUUACCAGCAAGUACAAACUCAGCACAGUCAGCACGGAGAGGAAGUGAAGUGAGCCUGUGGGGUAUGUGGACAGUGCUCGCAAAGUACCUUUAAACACCCUACCUGUUUAUCCACAGGCUGUCGAAAUGUCUGC
This is a long non-coding RNA of Oreochromis niloticus (Nile tilapia), 6140 nucleotides long. RefSeq lists it as uncharacterized. The record is from RefSeq and is a predicted model, not a curated record. The transcript is spliced from 2 exons. Lineage: Eukaryota; Metazoa; Chordata; Actinopteri; Cichliformes; Cichlidae.